Molecule: long non-coding RNA, 1191 nt
Filed under: Astyanax mexicanus (Mexican tetra)
Lineage: Eukaryota; Metazoa; Chordata; Actinopteri; Characiformes; Acestrorhamphidae
Description: lncRNA (ENSAMXG00005011764.1)
Source: RNAcentral
CAUAUAUGAACUGUAAAGAUUUAACCAGAAAGAUGCCCAUAACAAUAAUUGCUUUUUCUUUCUCACAGAUGACUCAAGCUAUGAGGCGUCUGGAUCAUCAGUGUCUUCUCUGGACCAGGCCACCCUGGCCACCUCUCCUCAUCGUCCAACUGGCUUACUCAUGACCGAUGAGGAUCCCAUGUCAGUCAUGCAGUCGGAUCCUACCAGUCUGUCAAAGGGAAUCCGACAGGAACCAGCAUUCUCCUCCAUACUGACUCUACUGGCCGACUCAGCUGAAAAACCUCAGACUCCUCUUCAUUCAGGCUCUACUCUGGAAAGCUCAGUCAGGAUUGAUAAUGAAACCAGCCAAUCACCUUCAGAUGGUCCCUUUCAGAGAGCAGAGGCAUCCUUUAAGGCACCCUCUUCCUCUGCGGUGGUGCCCGGUGGCAACCAGUCCUCUGCCUCAGAGGACUCAGCGCUGGAGGACUGGGUUUCAGAGCUGAUGUCCUCUGUGGUUCAGACGUCCAGAGAGACCAGCCUCCGCUCGAAGAGAAAUGAAACUGGUUUGACUCGACAACGAAAGAAAAUCUCUACGUUUUCCAACAAAAACACACUGACACAAACAGAACCCACCACCCAGGAGACCACAGCCACCAGUGCCCCCCAGUUCACCACCGUCACCACCACCACUGUGGCCACCACCACUUCCACAACCACCACUCCCUCUCCAGUGACCACAACCACCCAACCCACCAGCACAACCCAGUUAACCAGCACCAGACCCACUACCACAACCACCACCACCACCACCACCACCUCUACUACUACAACUACAACCACUACUACAGCUAAACCUCCCAGAAUGAUAGCACCUGCCCGUCCCCCUACACGGACCACCACCACCACUACCACCACCACCCAGUCUCCCAGGACCAGUCCUACCAGAGCCACCACCACUACUACCACCACAACUCAGACUCCUCCAAUCAUCUGCAACAUCACUGAGAGAAUGUUGGUCAGAACAGUUUUGUCCAUCCACCUGCGGAGGAGCCGGCUGGACAGCAUCCUGAAGCAGAACCUGCCGAAGGGUCUGACUCUGGCUCUGAGGAAAGCUCUGAACGACAGCUCGGUCCAGGCUCAGGUCAGUUAUUUUAUGAGCAUUAUGUUUUACUCACUGCUCAGCCUGUGUUCUCGUAGGUCUGUGCCUUCCCA